UACGGGGGGGGCAAGCGUUGUUCGGAAUUACUGGGCGUAAAGGGCUCGUAGGCGGCCAACUAAGUCAGACGUGAAAUCCCUCGGCUUAACCGGGGAACUGCGUCUGAUACUGGAUGGCUUGAGUUCGGGAGAGGGAUGCGGAAUUCCAGGUGUAGCGGUGAAAUGCGUAGAUAUCUGGAGGAACACCGGUGGCGAAGGCGGCAUCCUGGACCGCCACUGACGCUGAGGAGCGAAAGCCAGGGGAGCAAACGGG
This 253-nucleotide ribosomal RNA is filed under the name uncultured bacterium. RNAcentral's name for it is "partial 16S ribosomal RNA". It matches the Rfam family "Bacterial small subunit ribosomal RNA", at positions 524 to 776 of the family's 1533-position model. The record is from RNAcentral.